Molecule: ribosomal RNA, 253 nt
Filed under: uncultured bacterium
Lineage: Bacteria
Description: partial 16S ribosomal RNA
Rfam family: Bacterial small subunit ribosomal RNA
Source: RNAcentral
UACGAACUGUGCGAACGUUAUUCGGAAUCACUGGGCUUAAAGGGCGCGUAGGCGGGCGCACAAGUCAGGGGUGAAAGCCCACGGCUCAACCGUGGAAGUGCCUUUGAUACUGUGUGUCUUGAGGGAGGUAGGGGCGUGCGGAACUUCCGGUGGAGCGGUGAAAUGCGUAGAUAUCGGAAGGAACACCGGUGGCGAAGGCGGGUCUCUGGGCCGAUACUGACGCUGAGGAGCGAAAGCGUGGGGAGCGAACAGG